Molecule: ribosomal RNA, 390 nt
Filed under: uncultured bacterium
Lineage: Bacteria
Description: partial 16S ribosomal RNA
Rfam family: Bacterial small subunit ribosomal RNA
Source: RNAcentral
AUACGAAGGGUGCAAGCGUUAAUCGGAAUUACUGGGCGUAAAGCGCGCGUAGGUGGUUCGUUAAGUUGGAUGUGAAAGCCCCGGGCUCAACCUGGGAACUGCAUCCAAAACUGGCGAGCUAGAGUAUAGCAGAGGGUGGUGGAAUUUCCUGUGUAGCGGUGAAAUGCGUAGAUAUAGGAAGGAACACCAGUGGCGAAGGCGACCCCCUGGGCUAAUACUGACACUGAGGUGCGAAAGCGUGGGGAGAAAACAGGAUUAGAUACCCUGGUAGUCCACGCCGUAAACGAUGUCGACUAGCCGUUGGGAUCCUUGAGAUCUUAGUGGCGCAGCUAACGCAUUAAGUCGACCGCCUGGGGAGUACGGCCGCAAGGUUAAAACUCAAAUGAAUUG